This 1449-nucleotide ribosomal RNA is filed under the name uncultured organism. Its description in RNAcentral is "SSU rRNA". It matches the Rfam family "Bacterial small subunit ribosomal RNA". The record is from RNAcentral.
GAACGCUAGCUACAGGCUUAACACAUGCAAGUCGAGGGGCAGCAUGGUCUUAGCUUGCUAAGGCCGAUGGCGACCGGCGCACGGGUGAGUAACACGUAUCCAACCUGCCGUCUACUCUUGGACAGCCUUCUGAAAGGAAGAUUAAUGCAAGAUGGCAUCAUGAGUCCGCAUGUUCACAUGAUUAAAGGUAUUCCGGUAGACGAUGGGGAUGCGUUCCAUUAGAUAGUAGGCGGGGUAACGGCCCACCUAGUCUUCGAUGGAUAGGGGUUCUGAGAGGAAGGUCCCCCACAUUGGAACUGAGGCACGGUCCAAACUCCUACGGGAGGCAGCAGUGAGGAAUAUUGGUCAAUGGGCGAGAGCCUGAACCAGCCAAGUAGCGUGAAGGAUGACUGCCCUAUGGGUUGUAAACUUCUUUUAUAAAGGAAUAAAGUCGGGUAUGGAUACCCGUUUGCAUGUACUUUAUGAAUAAGGAUCGGCUAACUCCGUGCCAGCAGCCGCGGUAAUACGGAGGAUCCGAGCGUUAUCCGGAUUUAUUGGGUUUAAAGGGAGCGUAGAUGGGUGUUUAAGUCAGUUGUGAAAGUUUGCGGCUCAACCGUAAAAUUGCAGUUGAUACUGGAUAUCUUGAGUGCAGUUGAGGCAGGCGGAAUUCGUGGUGUAGCGGUGAAAUGCUUAGAUAUCACGAAGAACUCCGAUUGCGAAGGCAGCCUGCUAAGCUGCAACUGACAUUGAGGCUCGAAAGUGUGGGUAUCAAACAGGAUUAGAUACCCUGGUAGUCCACACGGUAAACGAUGAAUACUCGCUGUUUGCGAUAUACUGCAAGCGGCCAAGCGAAAGCGUUAAGUAUUCCACCUGGGGAGUACGCCGGCAACGGUGAAACUCAAAGGAAUUGACGGGGGCCCGCACAAGCGGAGGAACAUGUGGUUUAAUUCGAUGAUACGCGAGGAACCUUACCCGGGCUUAAAUUGCAGAUGAAUUACGGUGAAAGCCGUAAGCCGCAAGGCAUCUGUGAAGGUGCUGCAUGGUUGUCGUCAGCUCGUGCCGUGAGGUGUCGGCUUAAGUGCCAUAACGAGCGCAACCCUUGUUGUCAGUUACUAACAGGUUCCGCUGAGGACUCUGACAAGACUGCCAUCGUAAGAUGUGAGGAAGGUGGGGAUGACGUCAAAUCAGCACGGCCCUUACGUCCGGGGCUACACACGUGUUACAAUGGGGGGUACAGAGGGCCGCUACCACGCGAGUGGAUGCCAAUCCCCAAAACCUCUCUCAGUUCGGACUGGAGUCUGCAACCCGACUCCACGAAGCUGGAUUCGCUAGUAAUCGCGCAUCAGCCACGGCGCGGUGAAUACGUUCCCGGGCCUUGUACACACCGCCCGUCAAGCCAUGGGAGCCGGGGGUACCUGAAGUGCGUAACCGCGAGGAGCGCCCUAGGGUAAAACUGGUGACUGGGGCUAA